GACGAACGCUGGCGGCGUGCUUAACACAUGCAAGUCGAACGGGAUGAUUUAGAAGCUUGCUUUUAGAGAAUCUAGUGGCAAACGGGUGAGUAACACGUAGGCAACCUGCCGACAGGAUGGGGACAACAUUCCGAAAGGAAUGCUAAUACCGAAUGAAGCGCAGGAGAGGCAUCUCUCCUGCGUGAAAGAUGGCCUCUAUUUAUAAGCUAUCACCUGUCGAUGGGCCUGCGUCUGAUUAGCUGGUUGGUGAGGUAACGGCUCACCAAGGCGACGAUCAGUAGCCGGUCUGAGAGGAUGAACGGCCACAUUGGGACUGAGACACGGCCCAGACUCCUACGGGAGGCAGCAGUGGGGAAUCUUCCGCAAUAGGCGCAAGCCUGACGGAGCAACGCCGCGUGAGUGAAGAAGGUCUUCGGAUCGUAAAGCUCUGUUGAUGGGGACGAACGUGCGAAGGGUGAAUAAACCUUUGUAAUGACGGUACCUGUCGAGGAAGCCACGGCUAACUACGUG
This 510-nucleotide ribosomal RNA is filed under the name uncultured bacterium. Its description in RNAcentral is "partial 16S ribosomal RNA". It matches the Rfam family "Bacterial small subunit ribosomal RNA", at positions 28 to 507 of the family's 1533-position model. The record is from RNAcentral.